AAUGCAAAAAUCAUGCUCUACUACCUAAAUACGUACAAUAAUUAUCUAAAUUGACUGUUACCGUACAUAACUAUAGAUUCAUUGAGCAUAAAUUUUAUGCGUAAAUGACAAUAGAAAACAAAUUUCGCAGUCCAAAUAAUUGUAUUUACUCGACUAAAUAGUCUUAAUGAAAUAUGCUAAAAGUAAUUAGAGUUAUGUGAUUUUUGGUGGUGGCGUCGGUUAAUAACUGACAAAGCCCUCCUGGCUGCUGACUCCUCAAUGAUAACACAAAGGACAGCAACAUGUAUAGCAAAUACAUAGUUUAAAACCUUAAUAAUCAUAUGAAACAGAGAAACAUGCCGAGUAAAUAUAACCUUUCCUUGAGAAGAAUAAUAAAGAAAAAAUAAAACCUUUAACUUCGGUUACACGAAAGCUAGAAUUCCCUUCUCAAAUAUAAACUAACUGUGCUCGGUAAGCUUGUAUGGCAGCUAUAUGCUAUAGUAUCUUGAUCUGAAUAAUAUCUUCGAAGAUUGCAAAAAACCUUUAAUUAACCGCGAACAUUUUCGAGCGAUUACUUUUUACAACUUUCUAUAUGGAUUAACUAUUAUUAAUUCAAGUUUGACGAUGCCGUUCCAUUAAGGACUAGUAUUUAUCGAUGGUGUGGAGAAUUUAAUCUAGGUCGUAAGUUACUCCAAAACGAACUUCGUGAAGUACGUUCAAAAUCAGUUGUUCCGGAAACUAUUGAUGCUGUGCGCAAACUAAUAAAAGCUAGAUCGUCAAGUGACCUAUCGCGUGAUUGAAACAACUAAGAGCAUUAGUGAGACUAGCAUAUAUUGCAUGAAAAUUUCAGUCACUCAAGAAACGCCUCGUGACAAUUACUCGAAUUAAAUGUUAACAAAUACAAUAGCGGUGCCUCGUAACACGCCAAACUGAAAAAAAACUGAACUGGUCGCAACCCUACCAUUAAAACAACUCAGCGUAGUAAACUUUGAUUAAUACACAACCGGUUUUGUGCCAAUCGUCCUUCAAGAAAUCAGAAAAACUACCCGCGGAAUAAGGAUUACUCUUCAACACAACAAUACAAGCUCUCACACAUUGACUGGAACUCCUGCAUUUUUGAUUUGAUGAGUCAUCCACCGUACAGUCCUGACUUGGUACCGAAAGACUACCGUACGUAAAAAAUAAACUAAAAGAGAAGGGUCUCUCGACACCUGAAGAGGCAGUUGAUGCAAUUUGGUGAAGAUAUCUCGUCAAAUGAAAAAGUUUUCCACUUCAUUCCGAUAGGGUGGAAUAUUUCAGAUCGACAGACGGACAGAGGAAUGCAUUCAGCUCGUCACGCUCUUCAUUUGCAUUUAUACUUUAUAAGGUAUCUGACGUUUCCUUUUGGGUGUUACAAACAUCGUGGCAAACUAGUGGAUUCGAGUAAAUACAAUUAUAUACCCUGUUGAGUAUAUAAGAAGAAUGUACUCUUAUAUCGGCUGUUCCUUAGUUUACUUUGAGAUUUAUUCCCCUUUUUGCGCUGUACCUCACCUUUGGCAGUCAGUGUAUUCCGUUAUAGGUUUCCGAUAAGUACAUAUUAAUGUUUGCCGUUGUCACUGCAGUCGUAAGGGUAGUUAUCAAGGUGUCAGUUUUUGUUGUUGUUGUAGUUGUUUGCAUUCAUAUUUGGUCUACCGAAGUCAUCCCGAAAAAGUUGGGCACUCGUCCGGCAUGUAUAGUAUAGUGAAGUCAUUUGAUACCUCUGACCUCGCCCGGAUAUCGAAGGGAACUGUUCGUGUACAACUACUCAUUUAUCGGGGUUAGUAUUGGUACAGAUAUCCUUACACCAUCAACAAAACGGAGAUAGGCGUAAAACCGAGGACUUCUUCAUCCAUUCCCUUAUUGUUUGAAUUGUGAGAUAUCCCUCUUAGUUAGUAAAAAGAAUGUACAUCCAUUACCAUUACCUAUCUCCCGAUCAACGCUGAAGGAGAGGAAUGAAUUUAUUAAUGUGAACCUUAUUUCAGUGUUGGUGUUCGCCAUCGACCGAAAGGUCGAAAGGUCUGGGCUAAAAGACGGCUUAGGCAAAACUUCCAUGAGUGUAUAAAUGGUUUUUAACCGGUCUUUCAACGUCUUUUCUCCAUAAUAUAAAGCAUCCAUUUUCCAUCACUAGUCACAAUUUGCUGCAAAAACCGACCACUUUUUGUAGCGCUCAAACAGCAUUUCACACUUGCGAAAUCUUCUUUCUCCGUGUUUUGGUUUCAAUUCAUAAGGCACUCAAUUUACUUGCUGUUUAACGUAAUCGACUGCUUUUACGCAUUUUGGCUGCUAGAGUGACUUCCGGGGACUCUGCGAGCGCUCCUCUUUUGUUUAGCAACUUUAUUAAGUAGUGCUCUCAGAUCCUCAUCCUCAAACUUUUUUGGUCGCUCUGGUGCUUCUUCGACUUCCAAGUCAAAAUCAUCAUUUUUAAAAUCAAACCAUUUUUGAAAAAAAAAAAAUAGAAAAUCUUAACCAUAUUCUUUUCCCAGAAUGCAAAGAUUUUUUGCCAAAAUAUAAAAGCAAUGAAGAAUAACUCCCCGUAAAAUGACUUUGCAAGGCACAAUGUGGAAAUAUUUUACAGAAGAAAAAUUAUUCUUGUUGACAUAUACUAAAAAAGAUUUACAGGAGCAGUAACUUUCCAAUCCUGAUUCGGAAUAUUGGAACAAUGACAUAUCAAUCAAAUUACGUCAUCUCUUGGCAAACCGCACAAAUAUAGUUAUGGACCCAAUAUAUGCAUUGACCCAUUAUGUUUGGAAGCUCUGAAUUCGCGCUUAAUUACAAAUUUUGGUUAGCUUAUAAAAUAGUUGCAGCAUAUUACCGCUUCUCUGUUUUUCUUGCCUGUUCCACAUGAUUACACUCUUCCGGCUAAUAACUUACCGUCACUACUUUCAAUUUUAAAUCAAGUCAUUUAUCAUUUUCAGAAAUCUACUCAGCGCAUGCUUCUACAUUUAUGGAGCUAAUCCAAGGUGGCGACAAGCAGUGUGUGCACACAAAUACUGAAUCGUUAGCAUGAAAAACAUAAAAUGUUUUAUAUUGAAGUCGCAUGAAGUCACAAGGUCACGGUAUGCGAGAUCAGGGCCGCUGGAGAGUACGACAAGAUGAGCAAGCAUACCCAAGAGGGUUGUGGAGCGGUCCCACACAGAGUGGCAACAAAAGAAGCUGACUGAGUCAAAUUUUAUUGCUCGUGGCGCCGCAGAAAUAAUAUAUCAAAAUUUGUAACUAGCAUGAAGUAUGAAAAAGUUGGUACAUUACAAAUAUACAAGUACGGUAGUCAAAACCAGCGACGGCGUCAGUUACACUGCACAGAUUUCCAACAAAUGCACCGUUGCCGACUCGGUAUCUGCUGUGCUGGGAACAAUAUUUUUAGAGUGGGCUCUUUUCUUCAAACGCCUUAUCGAAGACAGUUGUACAUGCGAAAUUAGAUGUGAGCAUUAACCGUGUAUAAAUUUUGAACAAAGCAGCAAGGUAAAUCCUUACCUUGGUGGAGCGGGAUUGGACAGAACCACUCUCUUUUACACAGGAAAUUUCGAAUCGCUUGGAAACGGCAUUAAGAGAAAACGAGGUUCUAUAAGAACCUUGAAACAUUCGAAAAAGUAUUGGUUCUUUCGGUCGCGCCAAUACCGACUCAGUGUUCACAGCCAUCCAAUUGAAGGGUAUGCCUAGGUCUUCAGUGCAGGAUGCAAAACUUAUCUUGAAAGCUCUUGUUCUGUGAAAACUCAGAAAUCAAAGCAAUCGGAGUUCAGAUAGAUUAUAAACUGUUCUAUGAAGUCCGCAAAAGCGUUUAGAGCGGCGGUAAUAAAGAACGCCAAAAGAGUUUCAUGAAGAUCCUUCUGUAAAGGCGAAGAAGGGGAUUACGAAUCCUAAAGGUUUAGGCGCAUUCACGUCAAAACGCUAUUUCCGUGGGUUAUCUUUGAAGUGUGGACGGUGACUGGACUUCGAGCAGCAAGGAAGGGGCCCGCGGACUUUAGAACGGCGAUAUAGCUUUCUUGGAUCUUCUAGACGAGCAUGAUCUCACAUGAGCUUUAAAUUCGUUCAAAUCAUUCAAGUACCGGAACCUGAUGACAUCAUACCUGUGCAACUUCAGCGGACGGUAAAGGUGUCAUUCAGCUAUUUGACCCACAUCUACACGAACUGUGUAUGAUUAGAUCACAUUCCCCGGACGUGGAGACAAGUAAGACUAGUGUAUAAAGUUCCCAUAUGAAUGUUAAAUAUUUCAGGACUAUUAGCAUCUGCUUGUUUUGGUUGAAGACGCUGAAGAGGCUUACGCACCUGCACAUCAGAGGCAGGAUAUCGAAAAAUAUAAUAUUGACACUGCCAUAGCUGGAGCGAUCCCUCAUACAUAAGGAAUAUGCGGUGGGAACAUCAUUGAGGGAGUAUUCAACAGAAUGCGACCGGACGCGCUUAUUAGUUCCCCGGAUAGGUUUGAGGUUGAAACGAUGCUAACGAACGAAUCUCAACCAUAAAAAUAAAACUGAACUGGCUUCAUGUACCAGGAGGAUUGUAAUCUCAAAUUCGCCCUUUUCCUUAUUAAGAGGCUCUCUACCUCACUCUCGAAAAUGUGAAGUACUGGGACCGCAUCUUUGAUAUAAUUGCCAUUGGUUUAAUACUAUUGUUGUAGAGAAGCUAUUGGAAAGCGGUGGGAUCUCUCAACAAAAGUAAUGCUUUUGUUUUACGAAACGGCAGUUAAGCCAAUACUAUCCUAUAGUGUAUUUGUCUAGUGGAGGAUACUUGGUAAAGUCACGCUCGCUAAACUGUUCAACGAGCGGCACUAAUUAGCAUCAGUACUACACUACGAACAACGACAAAUUAGCACUUAAUGUCAUUACACCUAUAGCACCCGUGGAACCUUCUCCUAGCAGCAUCUUCUCCGCGCACAUACCGCCAGAGAUAUGUGGGUUGAGCCGGAGUCACUGGAAAAGAGGCGCAGUGGAUUAAUCGAAUCUCGAGUGAAAGGUUUGAGGGGUUACCUUCUGUCGGAAUCUCUCAAUAAACUAUUGUUUCAGACUUCCGAACCACUUUGGUGUCUUUCAAGCAGAAGUCACAGUCAUCAAGUUAGCAGCAGCUGUACUUCCCCGAAAUGCUUGUUUUUAGGGAGGUAUACAUCCACUCCGAUAACACAGUUUCUAUAUAGUCCUUGGAUUCGCUAACAGUGAAAUAAAAGCUAGUCAAGGAGUGCAUAUCCUCACUUGGAGUAGCAUUUAACUGCGUGCUUGGAAUUGUCAGUAAUUUUAAGGGCUAUGAAAGACGCAAGAGAAAGCACUCUUACUCUAAUGCCAUCAAGAAUCUAUGCGCCUCGCCCGAGUUCAGCAAGAGUUCGUUAUCAACCAGCACUUAUACUGUCGCGAAAGUCUUCUGGCUCAGAACGGAACUUCUAAAAAAUCCAUUGAACCGUCAGCUCUUAGUUAAGCUCAGACCUCCGCAAUGAUAGACGUCCUUACUAGACAUGAUUUUUGAUCUAAACCCAAGAGUUCUGGGCAUCACAGCGGUGUAGCGUUUUUAACAGUCCAAGAGGGAUGUUGGUCUAACGAGUAAUCAGUCUAUCCCCUUAAUCAAAUCUAAUCUAAUCUAAUCUAAUCUAAUCUUAUCUAACCUAACCUAACCUAACCUAAUUUAUUAUCCCAAUCUUCAUAUAUCCAUUAUUCUGCAUUGGUUAAAUCCAUAAAAUUAACGCUUCUACAGUCGCUAAUCCAAUGACAAAUAAGGAUAAAAAAUCAUGCGCUCUCGUUGGCCGAAAAGUAAACAAUGAAAUAAAGCGAUGCGAUUGCUGAUGACAAACUCUUCGCUAAAUUGCAAUUUAAGCCGAAGCAGAAAAAGAGAUGAAAUGGAAAAGCAAUGAAAAGCGACCGCCUGAUUGACAAAGCAACAAAAAAGCCAACACAAAACAACCAACGAAAAGAUUGCAGGUUUAUCCAAGCACACUGACAUACGGGAACAAAUGCACACAUCCGAACACGACAGAAAGGCAGACAUGCGAUAAAGUCAAAGCCGGAGUCAUAUCGAAAGCCAUUCGUUGGAGUAUUUGCCACUUUAACGUGCAUUAAAGUUCACAUUAAUGUGAAGCGAUGCUAUUCGAUGGGCGGGGAGGACGAGGCGACGUUUUAAUGUGGUGCACCGCACUCGAGUGUUGCGCAAAUAAAGCGAUUGCACUAAAAAUCGCUGUAGACAAUUGUCGGUGUGCAAGCGAACGCAUGUACAUGUGUGCGUGUGUGCACAAAUAUUUACACAAUUACAUACGAAAGCGCAUGAAUUGAUGUAUGUAUGUGUGUGCUACUCAUCAGUGCAUUACCACGUCGUUUUUCUAAUUUUACAAAUGCAUAUUUACGUAAGUGUGUGUGUGUAUGAAUUCUAUUUGUGUUUGCUUUGAAAGCAUAGUAAUAGCUUGGAAAAACAUUUGCGGUUGUGAAGCGCAGCGAUUUUCGAUGGUCUUUUGAGCACAACUCUUGAUGCUGUUGACCAAGAGCACUCGUUGGUCGAAAGCGUCUACAAAAGUGGUGAAUGAGUGCAAAGCGAUUACAUUUAAAUUGAUUAUUUGAUAUUAUAUUAUUUAUUCUUUUCUGUUAGCAUUUGAAGCAAAAAUUUUCCAGUUACAAAUAAGUGAUAUGUAGUAGUAAUAUAUUAACCAGAAAUAUAUGAAUACAAUAUCUAGGAAGAUGGUUAGGUAAGGUUAGGUAAAAAUGGCUGAUCGAUGAUCGCACGUAGACUAACAAAUUAGUCCUUUGUGAUGCCAUUAAAAGAAAACUCACGUAUUCGGACUUACAGAUUGCCGAAGCGCUUUGUAGCCAAUA
Molecule: long non-coding RNA, 6776 nt
Organism: Bactrocera tryoni
Lineage: Eukaryota; Metazoa; Arthropoda; Insecta; Diptera; Tephritidae
Exons: 6
Source: RefSeq, a predicted model, not a curated record